This 238-nucleotide long non-coding RNA is filed under the name Olea europaea (common olive). RNAcentral's name for it is "long non-coding RNA (OEUR_LNC011087)". Lineage: Eukaryota; Viridiplantae; Streptophyta; Magnoliopsida; Lamiales; Oleaceae. The record is from RNAcentral.
UGAUUAAUCAAUAAUUACAAGAAUUUAACUAAAUUACUUAUCCUGAAUAAAAAAUAAAUAAUAAACUGUUUCCUUUUCACCCAAUAUAUAAAAGAAAUUAGCCUAGCAUAAUGUUAGAAUCAAACAAAUCAAAGUGGAAAGAUAUCACCAAAAAUCAAUCGAACAUGAUUAAUUCCUCAAUUUCAUAUUUUUGCCAUCCGUUUUCCGCCGGCUUUACGUGUUUUUCUCCCGCAGCUGC